RNAcentral lists this ribosomal RNA (364 nucleotides) under Pantoea sp. Its description in RNAcentral is "bacterial SSU rRNA". It matches the Rfam family "Bacterial small subunit ribosomal RNA", at positions 1030 to 1394 of the family's 1533-position model. Lineage: Bacteria; Pseudomonadati; Pseudomonadota; Gammaproteobacteria; Enterobacterales; Erwiniaceae. The record is from RNAcentral.
UGAGACAGGUGCUGCAUGGCUGUCGUCAGCUCGUGUUGUGAAAUGUUGGGUUAAGUCCCGCAACGAGCGCAACCCUUAUCCUUUGUUGCCAGCGAUUCGGUCGGGAACUCAAAGGAGACUGCCGGUGAUAAACCGGAGGAAGGUGGGGAUGACGUCAAGUCAUCAUGGCCCUUACGAGUAGGGCUACACACGUGCUACAAUGGCGCAUACAAAGAGAAGCGACCUCGCGAGAGCAAGCGGACCUCACAAAGUGCGUCGUAGUCCGGAUCGGAGUCUGCAACUCGACUCCGUGAAGUCGGAAUCGCUAGUAAUCGUGGAUCAGAAUGCCACGGUGAAUACGUUCCCGGGCCUUGUACACACCGCC